AUGAUGCAGCCCUCUGUCCAUAUAUUCACAUGCUCAUAGAGCCACACCUGAAUCGAGAUCUAUUUUGUAAAUAUCUGAAGAUAAGGUUGAUGGGCUGCACCAUCACCUUCUGCACCUUUUGGCCCUGGCUAUGGUACACCAUGGUGGAACUCUUACAAA
Dipodomys spectabilis (banner-tailed kangaroo rat) is the source of this 159-nucleotide long non-coding RNA. RefSeq lists it as uncharacterized. The transcript has 3 exons. The record is from RefSeq and is a predicted model, not a curated record. NCBI's taxonomy places the organism in Eukaryota, Metazoa, Chordata, Mammalia, Rodentia, Heteromyidae.